RNAcentral lists this long non-coding RNA (1142 nucleotides) under Homo sapiens (human). RNAcentral's name for it is "HSALNT0356966". The record is from RNAcentral. Lineage: Eukaryota; Metazoa; Chordata; Mammalia; Primates; Hominidae.
GUAAUUUCCCAAAGGUCACACAUCUGGCAUGUGGCUUAGCUGGUGCUCAAAAGCCUGUCUGUCUAACUCAAAAGUCUGCAUUCUUUCCACUCUACCUAUGAUCUUAUGAAAAGAAUAUGCCAAUAAAACAUGAACUCGGGUAGCUGUUGCUCUGCUGUCUGUUUAUGGCUGUGAAUUGGAACUUCACGGACUCUCUCAUCCCCAGUCCACGCAAUCCAUACUUCGUGAUGACUAAUUAUGCUCCAGGAAUAGGCAGAGAUUCAGGCUACAAAAAGUGGCAGAAGUCAAAUCUGGUGAUCUCAAAGCUCACUCUGUGCAGAAUCUCUGAGAAGUCUAAUAUAAACUGAAUGAGGAUGAUGUGCAGACCAGGCCUGGGCCACAGACACUGGGCAUAUGUGUUGGAUUCUCAAUUCAGGACUGAGGAAAAUCAAACACAAAGAUGAUAUAUAGAAUCUUGCUCUGUUGCCCCGGCUGGAGUACCGUGAUGCAAUCUCAGCUCACUGCAACCUCUGCCUCCCAGGUUCAAGCAAUUCUUGUGCCUCAGCUUCCCAAGAAGCUGGGACUACAGGCGCCUGCCACUACACCUGACUAAUUUUUAUACUAUUAGUAGAGACAGGGUCUUGCCAUGUUGGGCAGGCUGGUCUUGAACUCCUGACCUCAAGUGAUCCUCCUGGCUUAGCCUCCCAAAGCGCUGGGAUUACAGGCAUGAGCCACUGCGCCCAGCCUCAAUGCCAUUUUAUUACAUGUCUUUCCCCUUGGCUGAGGAGAAGAGGCAACAGGGACAGAAGAGAUGUUGCUGUGAUCUGUGCUGGUGAAGGAGGCAGCACAGAAGGGACAGUGAGGUGGGAGAGGAGCAGGAGGUCUCAGGUAGCCCCAUUGAGCUGGGAAAUGCAUGUUCUCUCAGCACACCUCUAUAAGGAUGAGAAGCAGGGCACUGUAAGCUAUAAAUAAAUUCUUCCUCCUCCUCCUUGAGGAGGCUCAGUAUAAAUGAAUUAGGAGAUGUGGACAUUAUUAAUAAAGGAAAUUUUGAAUUUCUUUUGAAGUAUGUGAAUAUGUGUUUCAAAAUAAUGCAAACAAUCUUAAUAUGUAAUGAUGCUAGUGUUCACUUCCAGGACCUACAGAUGUGAGAAAUUGCAUCAUUU